GGUGCUUGCACCAAUUUGAAGAGCAGCGAACGGGUGAGUAACGCGUGGGGAAUCUGCCUUUGAGCGGGGGACAACAUUUGGAAACGAAUGCUAAUACCGCAUAAUAACUUUAAACAUAAGUUUUAAGUUUGAAAGAUGCAAUUGCAUCACUCAAAGAUGAUCCCGCGUUGUAUUAGCUAGUUGGUGAGGUAAAGGCUCACCAAGGCGAUGAUACAUAGCCGACCUGAGAGGGUGAUCGGCCACAUUGGGACUGAGACACGGCCCAAACUCCUACGGGAGGCAGCAGUAGGGAAUCUUCGGCAAUGGACGAAAGUCUGACCGAGCAACGCCGCGUGAGUGAAGAAGGUUUUCGGAUCGUAAAACUCUGUUGGUAGAGAAGAACGUUGGUGAGAGUGGAAAGCUCAUCAAGUGACGGUAACUACCCAGAAAGGGACGGCUAACUACGUGCCAGCAGCCGCGGUAAUACGUAGGUCCCGAGCGUUGUCCGGAUUUAUUGGGCGUAAAGCGAGCGCAGGUGGUUUAUUAAGUCUGGUGUAAAAGGCAGUGGCUCAACCAUUGUAUGCAUUGGAAACUGGUAGACUUGAGUGCAGGAGAGGAGAGUGGAAUUCCCUGUGUAGCGGUGAAAUGCGUAGAUAUAUGGGAGGAACACCCGGUGGCGAAAAGCGGCUCUCUGGUCCUGUAACUGACACUGAGGCUCGAAAGCGUGGGGAGCAAACAGGAUUAGAUACCGUGGUAGUCCACGCCGUAAACGAUGAGUGCUAGAUGUAGGGAGCUAUAAGUUCUCUGUAUCGCAGCUAACGCAAUAAGCACUCCGCCUGGGGAGUACGACCGCAAGGUUGAAACUCAAAGGAAUUGACGGGGGCCCGCACAAGCGGUGGAGCAUGUGGUUUAAUUCGAAGCAACGCGAAGAACCUUACCAGGUCUUGACAUACUCGUGCUAUUCCUAGAGAUAGGAAGUUCCUUCGGGACACGGGAUACAGGUGGUGCAUGGUUGUCGUCAGCUCGUGUCGUGAGAUGUUGGGUUAAGUCCCGCAACGAGCGCAACCCCUAUUGUUAGUUGCCAUCAUUAAGUUGGGCACUCUAACGAGACUGCCGGUGAUAAACCGGAGGAAGGUGGGGAUGACGUCAAAUCAUCAUGCCCCUUAUGACCUGGGCUACACACGUGCUACAAUGGAUGGUACAACGAGUCGCGAGACAGUGAUGUUUAGCUAAUCUCUUAAAACCAUUCUCAGUUCGGAUUGUAGGCUGCAACUCGCCUACAUGAAGUCGGAAUCGCUAGUAAUCGCGGAUCAGCACGCCGCGGUGAAUACGUUCCCGGGCCUUGUACACACCGCCCGUCACACCACGGGAGUUGGGAGUACCCGAAGUAGGUUGCCUAACC
Molecule: ribosomal RNA, 1381 nt
Filed under: Lactococcus cremoris
Lineage: Bacteria; Bacillati; Bacillota; Bacilli; Lactobacillales; Streptococcaceae
Description: Lactococcus lactis subsp. cremoris 16S ribosomal RNA
Rfam family: Bacterial small subunit ribosomal RNA
Source: RNAcentral